RNAcentral lists this long non-coding RNA (306 nucleotides) under Trifolium pratense (red clover). Its description in RNAcentral is "long non-coding RNA (TPRA_LNC004716)". Lineage: Eukaryota; Viridiplantae; Streptophyta; Magnoliopsida; Fabales; Fabaceae. The record is from RNAcentral.
AGGGACAAUAGUUAUUGAGGGUUUGUGCGAUACAAAAAUGAAAAGGGGAAAGAAAGAAAGAAAAGAAAUGAAAACUAGGGUUUUGAAUUUGUAAAGAUUAAGUAUGCGGAUCGAAGAUUAGAGAGAAAAUCUAUGAACGGAAUAGCGUGAAAUUGAUAAUUUUGGGGAUGAUUUUGCAGAGAUGGAUCGCGAUUGAGGAAGAGGGAGUGAGCGAGAAAGGAGAUAUGUAGAGAGAGAAUGUAGAGAGAGAAUAUUACUAUUAUCUAUCGAGGUAUUAUUAUCAUUCUAGAGCAACUACGAAGCAAC